AUUUAACUGUUAGAGCUAAUAAAUAUUUUAAAUAUAAUUUUAAACAUAUAAAUUAAAAAGAUUAGAAUUAUUGGUGAGAAAAAAAAUAGUUAGGAAUUUGAAUUCGAAUCUGACUAACAAUCACAAAACUUAUUUCCGAACUCGACGGAUUUCAAAAAUUCAUAUCCAAAUUCAAAACUGACCAAUUUUUCGAAACCCAAAACCAAACCUAAACCAGAAGACUAGAAUUCAAACAAUUAUUUCUGUUUAUCAUAUUUCAAAGAAUUUAUAUAAAACUUAAAUUUUUAAAAUAUAAAUUUGAAUAUAAUAUUAAAUUUUAAAUUUAAAAGGGAAAUUUAAAUUAGAGGAAUUUUAUAUUACUAUUUAAAGUUUAAAUUCAAUGAUUAUAUUGUGAAAUCAUUUGAAAUUUUCCUUAUAUGAAAUGCCAAAUUAUGAAAGGAAAUAUAGAGAGAGAAAAAGGAAACAAAGAAAAAAUAAAAAUUUUCAAAAUAUAGUAGAUGUAAAAUGACUAAAUUGCCCAUGUAUUAAAAGACAAAAAUAUUUUUUUUUGAGGUACCUGAUAACCGGUACCUCUCCUAAAGUGACCUGCUAUUGCAGGUCACAAUUUAAAAAAAACUAAAUAUGAGCCGUUGAAUACACAUGAAUGAACGGUAACCAAAAAAAAAAAGUAUAGAAGCAUUACUCUCAUUCUAGAGAUGUAAAAAGAUCGGAUUCAGAGUAAAUUUUUAAAAAUUCGAACCCGAAUCUGACUAUCGAACUCAAGACCCAAACAAACAAACUCAAAUCUGGCAAAUUUUAGAAAAUCAUAUCCACAUCCGUACCCGACUUAUAAUCCGAAAUCUGAAUCCUAGCCCAAAUCCGAAAAUCCAAACCUGAAACAUUAUUUCUCUUUAUAAUAUUUCAAAAUAUAUUAAAUUAAAUCUAAAAUUUUAAAGUAAUAUUCAAAUAUAACAUCAAACAUUUAUAUAUAUUAUAUAUAUAUAACGUAAAAUAAAUUCAGGUUCCGGUCGGAUUCAGGUUUGGUUCGGAUACAAUCAAAAUCCAUACCCGAAUUCAAAUCCGUCUGGUAUUUGUGUUUGGUAUCAAUAUCUGAAACUAU
This 1099-nucleotide long non-coding RNA is filed under the name Ananas comosus (pineapple). Its description in RNAcentral is "long non-coding RNA (ACOM_LNC033079)". The record is from RNAcentral. Lineage: Eukaryota; Viridiplantae; Streptophyta; Magnoliopsida; Poales; Bromeliaceae.